GUGAGACCUCCUCGGGCUGAAAGGGUCAGUUUGCCACGGCAAAGUUAAGCUGAGAGCCUUAAAAAAAUAGAAAAAGCAAGCCUUAUGAAAGGCUCACUGAGGAGAUAGUUAGGACAGAUCUUUGACAGCAGAAGCACAUCACAGCAUCAGGAGCUUCACAGUCCCAGUGAGACCAUGGCUGAGAUUUACCAUUCCCUGUACUGUUCCAGAGGAUUGCUCCAGUGCAACCAGGCUCUCAGCCCAGACCCCCUUUCCUGCUUCCACCAGCCCCUAGAGGAGGAGGGGAAGGGCGAGCACACAGGACUGGAAUGUGAGAGUCCUUUGCAUUCUCAGGAUUCCUGGUGUCUGUGACAGGCAGCAGAAAGGCAACACACACUUGUCUGGGGAUCUGACAAAUUCCACGUUCUGGAGAGUUACUGGAACAGCUGAUGGCUCACAGGAGUAACUACACACAGCUGGCCUAGCUCCACAUCCACAAGCUGGGAGGUUUUAGUGCCAUUCAGCCCACGCAUCAGGGCACAAAAGUCCCCCAGUAUGACUGCAGAACCUUCUCGUAAACUCGAACUUCUCACUACCACUGACUUCAAGGAUCAAAAAAACAGUAGCACAAGAAGAGAACGGCUACGCAAGCCAUCAUUCCUACAGCAUUACAUUACAGACACUUCUCCAAGGUGGAAAGAUCAUAGGAGGUGUCCUCUGAGG
This is a long non-coding RNA of Calidris pugnax (ruff), 702 nucleotides long. RefSeq lists it as uncharacterized. The record is from RefSeq and is a predicted model, not a curated record. Lineage: Eukaryota; Metazoa; Chordata; Aves; Charadriiformes; Scolopacidae. The transcript is spliced from 3 exons.